UGACUGUGCAUAUUCCUAUAUAACGUGAGGGUUAAAUAUACUUUUCCCCACUCUACUCAACCUCGAUUUACAAAUGCAUCACUGAACUGAAAUUUUUUAUAAUCGACUCAUUAAACUACAAAAUUUUAUCAAAUCGUUACAAAUUCCGUUAAAUGAGUUGACUUUUAACAGAAACAUGUGACAUCAGAUAUGACCUACCCCACUUCUAAUGACACAUCAUUUACAUCACGUGGGUUAGUCCUUGUCACGGCCACGGUGGAAACUCAGUGGUUAAAACCAAUUUGGUCGACUAAAGGCCAGACAGAGACAGAAAAGGAAAACGCGCGAAGGAGUGAAGGAGAGAGAAGAUUCAGGCGCGAAUUUCUCUUUUUGCUGGCGAAUAUUGGUCUUUGAUGCGAAU
This 400-nucleotide long non-coding RNA is filed under the name Panax ginseng (ginseng). RNAcentral's name for it is "long non-coding RNA (PGIN_LNC009070)". The record is from RNAcentral. Lineage: Eukaryota; Viridiplantae; Streptophyta; Magnoliopsida; Apiales; Araliaceae.